This 1725-nucleotide ribosomal RNA is filed under the name Triticum aestivum (bread wheat). RNAcentral describes it as "partial small subunit ribosomal RNA". Lineage: Eukaryota; Viridiplantae; Streptophyta; Magnoliopsida; Poales; Poaceae. The record is from RNAcentral.
AUGGCAUUCCCCCACUGGAACUGGUUUUUUUUUAGCAAACCCCACUGGAGCAGUUUUUGUUUUGAGGGGUCCCACUGGAACAGGUGCAGAAAGGAGAGAAGUUCAUCUUCUCGGGCCUUUCCAGCCCAUUUGCUGAUUUAUCUACAAGCAAAUGAGGCCCAGGCGCUCAGGCCUUUCGGGAAUACGUACCGGAGCAAUACGCCACGGCGUCGCUCGCCCGGCAAAGGCUUUGCCGUCUGUUUGCCGACGGUCUCCCGCCACCGCGCACUCGGCAAACCCCCGGCUGCAAUCUGCAAUGCCCCCCCCAAACCCUACAUAGCCCGGCUUACCCCUCCGUUUGCGCCUCCAUCCUCCGCGCCCUCUUCCACUCGCGCCGCCGCUCGUCCCCGCGUCCGAGCCUGCUGUUUAGGAAGGUCGCGCUCGCAUCGCACGUUUGAAGAAGAAACCGACCGGCACUCAGGUCAGUUCGCCGCCAUUUGUGCUGCUCGGAGCGGCAGAUCUGCUCGUGUUCCCGCAAUGGUUCGGUUUCUGACUGAGCUUACAAUCAUGUGUGGCGUGCGGCGCAGGGAGAGAGAGGGAGGCCCGGCGACGAUGGCGGAAGACCGCAGCUGGAUGUACACGGGCCGCCAGAGCAGGAAGAAGUUCACCCCCGAGUGGUUGGAGAAGACGACCGAGUUCGUGGAGCGCGCCUUCCGCAUCCUCCCGCCGAGGCGCCAGGCCGUCGUGCUGUGCCCCUGCGCUCGCUGCGAGUUCAGGCUGUACAGAUCGAAGGACGAGAUUCAGCUGCAUCUGUUCAAGAACGGGUUCGCGCCAGGGUACACGGUGUGGGUGUACCACGGCGAGCGACGCAACCCCCAGCCUGCUAAGCCGUCCGACGACCGCCCCAAAGAGAAUGGCGAUCUCAGCGGGAAGAAGGAUGGCGCCGGCGGCGGCGAGCAAGCGUCGAAAUCAGCGCAGGGGACCAAGAAGUGGGCGUGUGCAAGAGGAAAGCCACCAAAGAAGAAUCAACUGUGGGCGCGGGCUGCCGCGCAGGGAGAGGGAGGCCCCGCGACGAUGGCGGAAGACCGCAACUGGAUGUACACGGGCCGCCAGAGCAGGGACUCGAUCACCCCCGAGUGGGUGGAGAAGACGACCGAGUUCGUGGAGCGCGCCUUCCGCGGCGUCCCGCCGGAGCGCCUGGGCGUGGGCAUGCUGUGCCCCUGCGCGCGCUGCCGCAACCGCAACAGGCGGCCGAGGACCAAGUACGCCAUGCAGCUGGAUCUGGGCAGGAACGGCUUCAUGCCAGGGUACACGGUGUGGGUGCACCACGGCGAGGGCCACAACCCCCAGCCGGCGAAGCCAUCCGACGACCACCCCGAAGAGAAUCUUGAUGGCGCCGGUGGUGGCGAGCAAGUGUCGAAGCCGCAGGGGACUGAGGAGUGGGAAAUGCCCUUGCUUGAGGCGUAUGCAAGAAGCAAGCUACCAAAAGAGGAUCAAAUUAAGUGGAGCUACCAGAAAUACCUGUGGGAGCAAGAGAAAACCAAGCAGCACCAGCAACAGAGUGCACCAAAGGCAAAGAGGCUGCGCACCUCUGGUUCGUCCGCUGCCAAGCCCGCUGAGGAGGAAGGGCGCAAUGUCAGCGUCCCGGAGCCUGAACUUGAAGAUACAGCAACGUCAACAGCUAAUCCGGCAACGGCAGACAACGCGUGUGGAGUUCAAAUCCCAGCUGGACGGAAUUCCGUGUAA